AGAAGAAAAAGAAAUGUCGGUUGCUGGUAUUGACUUUGGAAAUCUCAAUAUGUUGAUUGCUCAAACCGCCAAGGGCGGCGUUGAUGUAAU
Molecule: non-coding RNA, 90 nt
Filed under: uncultured Stichotrichia
Lineage: Eukaryota; Ciliophora; Spirotrichea
Source: RNAcentral